UCACCAGCAUCGCCAUCAUCGUUGCCCGAUUCACUGUGUUUUUUUUUUCGUUUUGGUUGCUGUUGCUGAUUUGGUAUCCCUUACCUACCCGAACCAUGAACGCUAUUUUGGAGAAGUACACCUUCAAGGAUGACUACGUGAGCCCGCGUGGCAUUCCGAAGGUCGCCUUCGUCGAGAACGUGGCGGAGCUGGUCAAGUCGAGCGGCGACAGUGCCGAGACGCUGCUGAAGCGCUUCAGUGAACAGUACAGCAAGUACAAGCUCGCGGAGCACCGGCUGAUCCGCACGACAGCCAACCUCGAGGCGAAGAUUCCGGACAUCAAGAAGACGCUGCAGACCCUGGAGUAUCUGAAGAAGUCGCUAGUGGCAGAGAACGGCGGCAAGGGCUUCACGACGAACUACGGACUAACGGAGAGUGUCUUCUGCCAGGCUAAGGUUCUGCCGCAGAAGACGGUGCACCUCUGGCUCGGCGCGAACGUGAUGGUCGAGUACACGUUCGAAGAAGCCACGCAGCUUCUGGAGCGCAACCUGAAGAGCGCCACCGAGAACCUCGCGGCGACGCAGGAAGACCUGGCGUGGCUGCAGGAGCAGCAGACGAUCUUGGAGGUGAACACGUCGCGGCUGUACAACUACGACGUGGUGGAGCGCCGUAAGAAAAGUGAGGAAGAGGCAAAGAAGUGAAUCACAACGCGGUGACGGCGCGCCGUAAGGAUUCAAGGAGCUCCGCGCUGUGGUUCCGACUUGUAUCCCUUUCUCUUGCCGAUCUUUUUGCCUUGGCAAGAGCAAAAAGAACCACUGUCUGUUACUCUCACACAGGUCUCCAGGUUGGAUAGAAGGGGCGAUGCGGUAGAGAAAGGCCGAGGGAGAGGCUGCGCGGAGAAAUGGGAGUGAGCUGGAUGCCUGAAUGCGCCCGCGCAUACGUCUGGGCUUGUACUUGCGGCGUCGCCAAUGUUAAGGGUAGAGAGCACUUCUGCCAACACCGCCGACUUUACUCCGCAUCUGGAUGUGUUUGCGAGUGCACAUCCACAUCUGUCAAGCGGUUCACCUCUCUCGCCGCUGCAGCACCCCCUCCCCCACAAUACCUCCUCCUUCACGCACACACACACACUCCUUGAACACUUUUCGUCAGCGGUCGCCUUCACGUUGCGUUUCUGCGUUUGUGUUUGUGUGUGUGCGUGCAUGUCUCGCUGUGAUCACCUACUUCGUUUUUUUUUUCGUUUUUUCGUGUGCCUUUUAUGUUGCUAUGGCGGUUGGGUCGGACGGCCGGUCGGUUGAUUGAAUGUGGAUGUGGAUGUGCGAGAGUGUUGUGUGGCAUGCAUGGCACACAAGCACCUUCACAUGCGUAUCUAAAGAAUCGUCUAAUCGUUUUGUUUUGAAUGCCCUUCAUAGAGAGUGUGUGUGUGUGCGUGGUUGCACGUACAACGAAGGACUUG
RNAcentral lists this unclassified non-coding RNA (1432 nucleotides) under Leishmania donovani. RNAcentral's name for it is "gene:LdHU3.26.1670(CDS-product:prefoldin-like_pro tein)". Lineage: Eukaryota; Euglenozoa; Kinetoplastea; Trypanosomatida; Trypanosomatidae. The record is from RNAcentral.